RNAcentral lists this unclassified non-coding RNA (429 nucleotides) under Hevea brasiliensis (rubber tree). Lineage: Eukaryota; Viridiplantae; Streptophyta; Magnoliopsida; Malpighiales; Euphorbiaceae. The record is from RNAcentral.
AAGAACUGGGAUUACUGAAAUGGUAGCUUCUAUUGGACAUUCUUGUGUGAAAUCUUUAGAUUUGCUUUCUCAGUUUAUGAGUUAUAAGGUUAAUGGUCUUUGUCCUGAUGAUUGGAGUCUUGGGCAGAAGCUGAUUCUUAGUGGCUGUGAGCCUUUGCCAAGAAGGAGGUGUUUUGCUAAGACAAUACCUAAGGUUGGUUUACUUAAAUUACCUGAUUCAUUUUGGGGAAAUUAUAGUGAAAAGAUUUAUAGUUGGAGUGGUCUUGGUUGUAAGAAUGUAGCUUGUUUAAAUGUUAAGAAAUUGAAUAGAGAUUGUGCUGGUUGUUUUGAUGUUGUAAGUAGUGGGGGGUAUGAGAAGCAAAGAUAUGUUAAGGGUAGAGGGAAAAAUGAUUUCUUGAUUGAUGAUGUAUUGGGAAUGCUGGGAAAUGG